AGAGUUUGAUCAGUGGCUCAGAACGAACGCUGGCGGCAUGCCUAACACAUGCAAGUCGAACGAGACCUUCGGGUCUAGUGGCGCACGGGUGCGUAGCGCGUGGGAAUCUGCCCUUGGGUUCGAAUAACAGUUAGAAAUGACUGCUAAUACCGAAUGAUGUCUUCGGACCAAAGAUUUAUCGCCCAAGGAUGAGCCCGCGUCGGAUUAGCUAGUUGGUGAGGUAAAGGCUCACCAAGGCGACGAUCCGUAGCUGGUCUGAGAGGAUGAUCAGCCACACUGGGACUGAGACACGGCCCAGACUCCUACGGGAGGCAGCAGUGGGGAAUAUUGGACAAUGGGCGAAAGCCUGAUCCAGCAAUGCCGCGUGAGUGAUGAAGGCCUUAGGGUUGUAAAGCUCUUUUACCCGGGAUGAUAAUGACAGUACCGGGAGAAUAAGCCCCGGCUAACUCCGUG
This 453-nucleotide ribosomal RNA is filed under the name uncultured bacterium. Its description in RNAcentral is "bacterial SSU rRNA". It matches the Rfam family "Bacterial small subunit ribosomal RNA", at positions 8 to 507 of the family's 1533-position model. The record is from RNAcentral.